This 316-nucleotide RNase P RNA is filed under the name Candidatus Woesearchaeota archaeon. RNAcentral describes it as "RNase P RNA component". It matches the Rfam family "Archaeal RNase P". Rfam says of the family: Ribonuclease P (RNase P) is a ubiquitous endoribonuclease, found in archaea, bacteria and eukarya as well as chloroplasts and mitochondria. Lineage: Archaea; Nanobdellati; Candidatus Woesearchaeota. The record is from RNAcentral.
GUAGGGUAGCGCUUGGUAGCGGGUAUCUUUCCCUUAAACGGGAAGAAGCUCAGGAAAGUCCGCCCACAGUAAACGGCCACACGUGAAAGCGUGCUCGCUAAUAACGAGGGCAACAGCACAGAAACGUACCUGGCAUAGAGUGGAAUGAUAGGAUAAUAAGGAGGUGACUCCUGAAUGAAUCCUUGACGUCUCUUUGUUGUAGGAUGAAACGGCUAGUCCUGGCUUGUGCAACUCUUUAAGAGGCUUAGUCAAAUGCCAAGAAAGUCGAUUCCUUUUAUAAGGAGGACUUACAGAAGGCGGCUUAUAGCUACCCUAC